This 253-nucleotide ribosomal RNA is filed under the name uncultured bacterium. RNAcentral describes it as "partial 16S ribosomal RNA". It matches the Rfam family "Bacterial small subunit ribosomal RNA", at positions 524 to 776 of the family's 1533-position model. The record is from RNAcentral.
UACGUAGGGACCAAGCGUUGUUCGGAUUUACUGGGCGUAAAGGGCGCGUAGGCGGCUUAACAAGUCACUUGUGAAAUCUCCGGGCUUAACUCGGAAAGGUCAACUGAUACUGUGCGACUAGAGUGCAGAAGGGGCAACUGGAAUUCUCGGUGUAGCGGUGAAAUGCGUAGAUAUCGAGAGGAACACCUGCGGCGAAGGCGGGUUGCUGGGCUGACACUGACGCUGAGGCGCGAAAGCCAGGGGAGCGAACGGG